Molecule: non-coding RNA, 109 nt
Filed under: Ditylum brightwellii
Lineage: Eukaryota; Bacillariophyta; Thalassiosirophyceae; Lithodesmiales; Lithodesmiaceae
Source: RNAcentral
GAGGUGGAUUGCUUGGUGCUGAUGGAAAACCACUUUUUUGAAAACAAGAAACGGAGUAGGAAAAUGAAAUAUAUUUGGAAAAACAAUAAAUGAGUGGAUGGUAUGUGUA